CAUGCCGCGGUGAAUACGUUCCCGGGCCUUGUACACACCGCCCGUCACACCAUGGGAGUUGGUUUUACCCGAAGGCGCUGUGCUAACCGCAAGGAGGCAGGCGACCACGGUAGGGUCAGCGACUGGGGUGAAGUCGUAACAAGGUAGCCGUAGGGGAACCUGCGGCUGGAUCACCUCCUU
RNAcentral lists this ribosomal RNA (180 nucleotides) under Ochrobactrum sp. n-99. RNAcentral's name for it is "partial 16S ribosomal RNA". It matches the Rfam family "Bacterial small subunit ribosomal RNA", at positions 1353 to 1532 of the family's 1533-position model. The record is from RNAcentral. Lineage: Bacteria; Pseudomonadati; Pseudomonadota; Alphaproteobacteria; Hyphomicrobiales; Brucellaceae.